UCCGUAGGUGAACCUGCGGAAGGAUCAUUAAAGAGUAAGGGUGCUCAGCGCCCGACCUCCAACCCUUUGUUGUUAAAACUACCUUGUUGCUUUGGCGGGACCGCUCGGUCUCGAGCCGCUGGGGAUUCGCCCCAGGCGAGCGCCCGCCAGAGUUAAACCAAACUCUUGUUAUUUAACCGGUCGUCUGUGUUAAAAUUUUGAAUAAAUCAAAACUUUCAACAACGGAUCUCUUGGUUCUCGCAUCGAUGAAGAACGCAGCGAAAUGCGAUAAGUAAUGUGAAUUGCAGAAUUCAGUGAAUCAUCGAAUCUUUGAACGCACAUUGCGCCCCUUGGUAUUCCGAGGGGCAUGCCUGUUCGAGCGUCAUUACACCACUCAAGCUAUGCUUGGUAUUGGGUGCCGUCCUUAGUUGGGCGCGCCUCAAAGACCUCGGCGAGGCCUCACCGGCUUUAGGCGUAGUAGAAUUUAUUCGAACGUCUGUCAAAGGAGAGGACUUCUGCCGACUGAAACCUUUUAUUUUUCUAGGUUGACCUCGGAUCAGGUAGGGAUACCCGCUGAACUUAAGCAUAUCAAUAAGCGGAGGA
Molecule: ribosomal RNA, 582 nt
Filed under: uncultured fungus
Lineage: Eukaryota; Fungi
Description: partial 18S ribosomal RNA
Rfam family: 5.8S ribosomal RNA (bases 211-364)
Source: RNAcentral